AUGGAGUAACUUUAAGAUACAUAAUUUUGUUAUCCCGAAGUAGUAUGAGCUAAAAACCAAAGCCUUUUAGGGCUAGUUUAUUAUAUGUUACACUAUAUAACCCUUAUUGAUUUUUAGGAGUGAUAUACCUUACAAAUACUACGAUAACUGGAUUUACAAGAAACAUAUAUAGUAUGAAGGCAGCCCUACAAUGUUAAGGUUUUAGGGUCUCAUUAUAUUAAUCCACUAAAUCUGUAAUCUGAAUAAAAACAAUUAUUUUGUUAACUCUUAUAUUUAAUAUUUAGUUAUAUGAAUUACAUUGUAUAAUGUAGUUUUAUAAACAAUUACAUUUUUAAUGUUACUAUUAGUAUUAAUAAAAUUCUGAUUAAGGAACUUGGCAAAAAGUUACUCAACUGUUUACCAAAAACAUUGCUUUAUGCUCCUAUAUAAGGUUAACCCUGCUCCAUGGUACGCUAAAUAGCCGCAGUACCUUGACUGUGCAAAGGUAGCAUAAUCAAUUGGCUUAUAAUUGAAGUCUAGUAUGAAAGGGACAAUGUGUAACUACUGUCUUAGUUAUAAAAAUAAAACUUACUAAUUAAGUGAAAAUUCUUAUACACAAAUAAUAGACGAGAAGACCCUAGAAAUUUGUAAUUAUAUUUUGUUGGGGCGACAGGGUAACAGAACGAACUUACCUAUAAUAUAUAACUUUUGUAAACAUAAUAACUAAAUUACUCUAGGGAUAACAGCAUAAUGCUAUAUAGAGUUUGUGACCUCGAUGUUGGACUAAGAAGAAUACAGUUCAAAAGAUUGUAUAUCUAGCUCUGUUCGAGCUAUUUUUCUUACAUGAUCUG
This 830-nucleotide ribosomal RNA is filed under the name Ciliella ciliata. RNAcentral describes it as "partial 16S ribosomal RNA". The record is from RNAcentral. Lineage: Eukaryota; Metazoa; Mollusca; Gastropoda; Stylommatophora; Hygromiidae.